RNAcentral lists this ribosomal RNA (251 nucleotides) under uncultured bacterium. Its description in RNAcentral is "partial 16S ribosomal RNA". It matches the Rfam family "Bacterial small subunit ribosomal RNA", at positions 525 to 775 of the family's 1533-position model. The record is from RNAcentral.
ACAGAGGGUGCGAGCGUUAAUCGGAUUUACUGGGCGUAAAGCGCGCGUAGGUGGUUAAUUAAGUCAAAUGUGAAAUCCCCGAGCUUAACUUGGGAAUUGCAUUCGAUACUGGUUAGCUAGAGUAUGGGAGAGGAUGGUAGAAUUCCAGGUGUAGCGGUGAAAUGCGUAGAGAUCUGGAGGAAUACCGAUGGCGAAGGCAGCCAUCUGGCCUAAUACUGACACUGAGGUGCGAAAGCAUGGGGAGCAAACAG